CGGAGGGUGCAAGCGUUAUCCGGAUUUACUGGGUUAAAGGGUGCGUAGGUGGGCAGGUAAGUCAGUGGUGAAAUCUCCGGGCUUACCCGGAAACUGCCAUUGAUACUAUCUGUCUUGAAUAUCCUGGAGGUGAGCGGAAUAUGUCAUGUAGCGGUGAAAUGCUUAGAUAUGACAUAGAACACCAAUUGCGAAGGCAGCUCACUACGGGAUUAUUGACACUGAGGCACGAAAGCGUGGGGAUCAAACAGGAUUAGAUACCCUGGUAGUCCACGCCCUAAACGAUGGAUACUCGACAUACGCGAUACACUGUGUGUGUCUGAGCGAAAGCAUUAAGUAUCCCACCUGGGAAGUACGAUCGCAAGAUUG
RNAcentral lists this ribosomal RNA (366 nucleotides) under uncultured organism. Its description in RNAcentral is "bacterial SSU rRNA". It matches the Rfam family "Bacterial small subunit ribosomal RNA", at positions 526 to 896 of the family's 1533-position model. The record is from RNAcentral.